GAAAAAUCCAGCAGAGGCUCUCCAGGCUUUCAGUUCUGGAAUGCUGCAGGCAGGGGAAGAGCUAGAAAUAACUCUCACCCCACACUCUGGCAGUCCAUGUUUUCAGCCACCAAGGACUGGGGACAGGGCAGAAGAGAAGGAGAGAAGAGAACGUGGCAGAAGACAUAUUUGAAGAGACAAUGCUCAGGAACUUCUAAAAUUGAUGAGGUCAUCAAUUCACAAAUGGAAGGAGUUCAGCAAAUCCCAAGCAAGUUAAAUACAAAACAAAAAUAAGCCAACAAAUUUAAAAAUCCCAUAUAUAGGCAUAUCAUAAUCAAACUGCUGAAAACUGAAGAUGGAAGAGAUCUUACAAGCAACAGGAGAGCAACAGGAGAAUAAAAGACACAUUAGUUAUGUGAGAAUGGCAACAUGGGUUAUGGCUAUUCCAUGUUUUAGGACCAGAAAAAAAUGGAGUCUUAGCUGAGCAUGGUGGCACAUGCUUGAACCCAGGAGUUUGAGUCCAGCCUGAGUAAAGUAGUGAGACCCCAUCUCUAUUUAAAAAAGAAAAGAAGUCCAGGCACGGUGGCUCACACCUGUAAUCUCAGAACUUUGGGAGGUGGGCAAAUCACAAGGUCAAGAGGUCGAGACCAUCCUGGCCAACAUGGUGAAACUGCGUCUCUACUAAAAAUACAAAAAUUAGCCGGGUGUGGUGGUGCACACCUG
RNAcentral lists this long non-coding RNA (702 nucleotides) under Homo sapiens (human). RNAcentral describes it as "HSALNT0162246". The record is from RNAcentral. Lineage: Eukaryota; Metazoa; Chordata; Mammalia; Primates; Hominidae.